Molecule: ribosomal RNA, 421 nt
Filed under: uncultured bacterium
Lineage: Bacteria
Description: bacterial SSU rRNA
Rfam family: Bacterial small subunit ribosomal RNA
Source: RNAcentral
UAAGGAAUAUUGGUCAAUGGACGCAAGUCUGAACCAGCCAUGCCGCGUGAAGGAUGAAGGUCCUCUGGAUUGUAAACUUCUUUUAUCUGGGACGAAAACCGGAUUUUUAUCUCAAUUGACGGUACCAGAGGAAUAAGCACCGGCUAACUCCGUGCCAGCAGCCGCGGUAAUACGGAGGGUGCGAGCGUUAUCCGGAUUUACUGGGUUUAAAGGGUGCGUAGGUGGGCUUAUAAGUCAGUGGUGAAAUCUCCGAGCUUAACUUGGAAACUGCCGUUGAUACUAUAGGUCUUGAAUUAUCUGGAGGUAAGCGGAAUAUGUCAUGUAGCGGUGAAAUGCUUAGAUAUGACAUAGAACACCAAUUGCGAAGGCAGCUUACUACAUAUAAAUUGACGCUGAGGCACGAAAGCGUGGGGAUCAAACA